GAGUUUUACACCAUGUGACCAUAUUGGCUAAAGUAUCAAAAUACCACAUAAAUAAAUUAUCUGACGUUUGUAUACAGUAUAUUUUGUUAAAAAGCAUAUAAGAGUAAGGAAUUCUGGGUCGUAGCCGCUCGCUAUUUUUGUGUGAUUAUCAAAAUUUGGCAGCAAUAUAUUUCGAUUUAGUUGCUCUUUAAUCAACUGGCAUACGAAGUUGAUGCGACACAAAAGCGACAUUAGCGAUACGCAAACGCAGGCGAAAGAAAAAUAUAACAUUUAAUAAAACACAAAAUAUAAUAUAAAAAUUUUUCCACACUUGGCUACACCGGAUCGAAGAGAGUGCGAAAGAGUGAGAGCGAGCAAAGGCGAAUUUCGAAUGCGAAAGCGAUUCGAUUGGCAGAAACAAGACACAACGAUUGCCGUCGUACAUCGGCCACCGAUUUUCUUUGCCGUUGGCUGUUGUAAGUUUUAUUUCUACAGUAAAGGAAUCUAAUUCAGAAGCAUUUGAUAAGCACGGGCACGGUUAACAAAAUGUUAAUAAACCUAAAGGUGAAAACUUUAGAUGCUCGCACACACGAUUUCAGCAUCGACAAUGAGUUAACCAUACGCCAGUUCAAGGACCAAAUCGCAGAGAAGACUAACAUUGCAGCCGAGAAUCAGCGAAUUAUUUACCAGGGCCGCGUGUUGUCUGAUGACAAACAGGUGAAGGAAUACGAUGUCGAUGGCAAAGUUCUGCAUGUGGCCGAGCGUCCGCCCUUCUCGCAGCGCGGCGCCAAUGCAACGAACAACGAUGAACCGAUGCGUGGCUUGAACCGCCUCCCCGGCAGACCAGCACCACGAAAUCUGCGCAAUGCGCCAUAUUUCAGGACACUCGACGGCAUGCUGGUGGGCACUAUGGCCAUUCCCGUGAACAAUGGACCACUGAAUGCUGCGGGCGCUCGCACACCUCCGAAUCGCUUUCCCAACUCGUCGUCUUUCUGCAUUAAUCGCAUCACUGUUGCCCAGCACAUGAUCGACUGUGCCAAUAAUAUAGCUGCAUAUCUGGAGAACCCCGAGAUCGGGCUGAAUAAUCAAUCAUUAGAUAUACUACAGCGCGGGCAUUGGACUAUGGAAUCAACGGUGGUCGAGGUGGGCGUGUCCUCCACCGAUAUGCCACGCAACAAUAACAUCAUUGACAUGGUACAGGACGCAGUCACCGCUGCAUUGUCACGCAACACACCUGGUCGCAACUAUACAGUGGUGCAGCUGCCCACUGUCUACACCAACGAGGAGGGCGACCAGCAGCAGCAGCAGCAGCCGCAGCCGCAGCAACAGCAACAACAAUCGCAGCAGCAGCAACAACAGCCAUCGGAUCGUGCUGGAAGCAGCAGCAGCGAUGGCGCCGCCAGCGUUGACACGAGCGAGGAGACUACAGCAGCAGCCGCUGUGAUCAUUGAGGAUGUAAUUGAGACAGAUGAUGAGGCAGCCGAUGGGACUAACACGCCACCCGGUGAGGACGAGCGCUCCAACUCGCCGCAGGCAGAGGCAGCGGAUCGAGGCGCAGCAGCCGGAACAGCAGCUGCUGGAGGGACGCAACCGAACGGCGCUGGCAAUGGUCCGCGCCGUCGUACACGUCCCGAGGUGCUGGCGCGAGUCUUUCAGCGCUAUCGCACCGUCGAGCAACGUUUGGCGCCCUUCCUCGAUCGCUACUACGAAAUCUUGCAGCAAGAUCCCAGCUUUGAGGAACAGGACACAGCGGGACGAGAGAAUGCGCAGCGCAUCUACGAUCGUGUCUCCGAGGCUCUGCACUAUCUGUCGCACGCCCAGCACGCCAUCUCGGACUUGAUGCUGGAUCUGUCCCAGCCAGGUCCGCGUGUGCUCACCUGUCGGCCCAUUCUCGUGGAGCAGAGCGGCUACAUACGCUCCAAUAAUAUCUUUACGCCCAAUCUGGUGAGCGCUCCGCUUGCAGACCUCAUUGCCCAGGUGCCGCCAGCGUCUGCAGUACCACAAGCCGCGCAACCAGCCUCUGCCUCUGCUGCAUCUAAUCCUCAACAACAGACUGUGGCUGGAACAGGCUCAGGUUCGGGCACAGGCACAGCUUCAGCGCAACAACAACGACCCGGAACUGAUCAAGAUGGAGUAGAUGAUCAAGUGGAAAACUCUGUUGAAGUCGAAGCAGCGCCUCGGCCAAGGCUAAGUCUCUAUAUGCCUGUACCAUUGCCUAUGCCCAAUCCUCGAAUGUCACAUCUUAUCCAGGCUGUUUCUAAUGCUACAGACGAUGGGGAACAGCGUCCACAGAACCCACAGGAUGGGUCUAGCAUGCAAGAUAUUGAGGAGGAGGAUUAUACAGAUCCCGAGGAACGUAACCGAAGGGAAGAUGAGCUUAUAGCGGAAGGGAUUGCUGAUGCAGAUGCAGCAGCCGCUGCCUUCGCUGGUCUAGCCAAUCGAAAUGACAACUUUGAGGAUCCUGUGGAUGAGCCCAUGGUGGCGCCAGCUGGCACCAAUGCAGCCGGCACACAAUCUCGUGCAGAUGCAGAUGAGCAUGCCGAGCGUGCGGCUGAGCCUAAUGAAGCACCCAGGCCAAGGCUUCGUCUCUAUAUGCCUGUAUCAAUGCCAACGCCCAAUCCUCAGAUGCGAAUGGCCCGUUUGAUUCAGGCCGUGGUCAAUAGCGCCACGAACGAUGCGGAUCUGCGUGUCGAAUUCAAUGUGCCCAAUGUGAUGUCCAUAAAUUUGCCGGUGCAUGUGAUGACCGCUGCUGUGCAUCCGCAAGCUCAGGCCCAGGCCCAGGCUCAGGGACAGGGUCAGGGUCAGGGUCAGGCACAGGCACAGGGACGACCAGCAGCCGCCACCGACAGUGCCGGAGCUGGCGAAGCAAAUGUAGCAGCUGCCGCAGCAUCAGCUGGAGCCAAUGCUGUUGCUGCUGCUGUUGCUGCUGCUGCUGCUGCGGCGGCCGCAUCCACAUCGAGCGGCACGCGCAGCGGCGAGCAGCGCGCCAAUACAUUGCCCACAACGGCCACGCAGACGCGCUCGACGUCCCGACCACAGAUUCAGAUUGGCGGCAACAACAAUUGGGCCGGACGCAUUGCGCCCACCCAUACGGCGUUCGAUCGUUUCUUGCCCUGCAAUAGCCAUCAUAUUCGUGAGCCGGAGCCAAUGGUUCAACAGCAGCAACAACAGCAACAACAACAACAGCAAAUCAACAAUAAUAUCAGAAGCAGAAACAACAACAUCAGCAGCAGAAACAACAACAACAACAAUAAUCACAUAAACAACUACCGAAGACCGACAAGUGAUCAAUCCGCUGAUGCUCUGGUCAACGGUAUUCGCUUGCCGCGUAGCUUCAGCGGCUCAAGCAUCUCGCGUAUCAUGCCGCGUCGACGACCCACCAUCAUGCGCGAGAGCCGAAGCGGCAGCGCGCCGGGAUUGACGACUAUUGGUGGUGGUAGUGUUGGUGGUGCCAAUCGUAUUGGUGGUAAUGGUGGUGGUGGCGGUGGUGGUGUUGCUGGUGGCGGUGGCGUGCACGCAGCUGUCAGUUCGAGCUACUCAAUGAGCCGCCGUCCCGUUGCACGCCAGCCGAACGGUCGGUCCGCGCAAAGAACCGUAUCCAGACUUUUAUCCGCUAUGUUUGACAAUUUCCUGGUUACUAAUAUGAGAAAUCAUGCGCAAACAGCUUUGGGCGGCACAACAACGGGGCUAACUAAUGCCACUUCGACCGCAGCAACCAACAAUGGUGGCGCCGCAGCAGCCAAUGCGACUCCAGUGGCCGCCUCAGCCUCAGCAGCAGCCGCAGCCACAGCUGCAGCCCCGAGCUCCGACUCGGGCUCGGGUUCGGGUUCGGGCUCAGCCGGCGACGCAGCUGCAGCUGUGGCUGUCAGCCGAGAGACUUGCAAUCUGCGCGCCCAACUGCGCAGCUUUCUGCACCACAGCGUCUUCGAGGGCGCCUCGAUCAAUCCGGACACGAUGCAAUUGGCUGUGGGCCGAGCUCUGGACUGGUUCGGCGACAAUCUCGUGUUUCUGCGUCAGUACGAGCGGCCGGAGUACAAUUCGCGGGACUCCGUGUGCAAUACGCUGCGCCAGAGCCUGCAACGCAUCAUCAAGCUGUGCUACGGCAACACUUGCAGCAGCCACUUCGAGCAUCAGCUAAAGCAAAUCUGCGAUCAGUUCCGGAAGCGUCUAUACAGCGUGCUCUUCCUGUGCCUGGGCAGCGCCAAUGCGGAGCUCUACUGGCGGCAGCUGAUGCGACGGCUCAGCGUGCCGCUGCGUUUCAAUUUCCGCAAUGAGGCCUUGCAGUUCUUGUGCAUCUACAUAGAUCCCACAAUUCCUGCUACGACGGACACCGCCGAUGCUCAACAGUUCCUCGUGCUGCGCAAUGCAGUGACAACGGGCCCAGAUGCCGACGAGCCUUUUGUGUGGCCUCCGCUACUCGCCUUUCCUUCACAUUCACAGCCGGCAGAACAAUCGCUCGACACCGACGUUGAAAUGGCCGACGUGGCCGGCGGCAGCAGCAACUCCGCGGAGCAGGAGCUAUCGUUGCCCGCGGUAACAGUCGGCUCGGAACCUUGGCAUAACAGUUUCCCUCAUGACUGGCUGCCUGUGAUAACUCGCGAUCUGCAGACCCAAACAGAGCAAAACCUACCACAACCACCCUACUCCGAUGCUUAUAUAUCGGGCAUGUCUGCCAAGCGUCGCAAGAUCAUCCAGAACGAGAAGUCAUCAAACGUGGAAUGCCUAAUUUCUAGCGGUGUGCAGCGUGCUCUCCAGAACUCCGGUCUGGCUGGCACGAAUGGUGGAGGUGCCGGCAACGUGAAUCCCACUGUUAAUCCUGAUGUUGUGAUCAAUGCCAUUGCCCAUGAUGCUGUGGUGCAGGCUUCCUACACGGAAGCUGUGCGCAACAGUGCACGCGAGCGCCUUAAGCAGGAUAUUGAUUAUAAUCCAAGCAAAUAUCCGCAAAUCACCAAGUUCACCGAGCAAAAGUAGGCGACGAACUUGGAUCGUGUUGUGGGCGUGGUCGUGGUCGUGGCCGUGGCCGUGAAUGAAACGUGCUUAAUUAAUUGGAUAAGUUCUGAAGCCUGUGUUGGUCACACGAAGUGCGCGGCUGUGGAUACUUCAAGACACACACAUACAGAUAAACAUACACACACAUAUAUAUAUAGAUACAUAUAUAUGUAGAUAUAUACUAUAUAAA
Molecule: unclassified non-coding RNA, 5158 nt
Filed under: Drosophila mojavensis
Lineage: Eukaryota; Metazoa; Arthropoda; Insecta; Diptera; Drosophilidae
Description: GI12868
Source: RNAcentral